Molecule: long non-coding RNA, 4935 nt
Organism: Gallus gallus (chicken)
Lineage: Eukaryota; Metazoa; Chordata; Aves; Galliformes; Phasianidae
Exons: 2
Source: RefSeq, a predicted model, not a curated record
ACUCAGCCCCAGGAUGUAAACCCCUACUAGAUCAGGCAAUGCUCGGGCUGGAGCUCCCUGAACUGCUGCCUUGCUGGUGCUGGUGUCAUGUUGAAGCAAGGACCAUACAGAACCUGUUACGACAUCCACAGUGACAGGAGUUUUGCAGUACCUUUUUUUCUACCAGCAUAGACAACCCAACAUUACACCAAUUACACCAACAAGGGCUUUCUUCUCUUGGUAUGGCCACACCAAUACCUGGGCAUUUCCUGAAUGCAAGCUGUGCACCUCUACUUGGGGCAAACACCUGUUAUGGUCUGAACUGGCAGAAUUGGGCUGAAGAAACUUUGUGGCGGAGUCAAGCCUGUGGCAUUUCUGACAAGAAAACUACAAAUUGCCCAUGAUUCAAACUCUAUAAGAAGACAACAUACAGGUUUAUGAACUACCUCUUGUACAUGUAUAUUCAGAGUAGUACAUUUUCUUUUACUUAUUGUCAGCUUUCACCAGACCAGUUGUCAGAAAUAGCACAUAAGUGCAGUCAUACCCAGAAAGGUGAGGAGUCAUGCGUGUGGAUGGAAUGCAGUUCAGACACUUUAAUACUCUAGACAGAACAUCAAAUGUUAAUUAAACGCUCGCUAUAUAUCACCUUAGCUUCAGUAAAUUGAUCAAAGCAACUUUGUAGCAGGGAUUGAAAUGCACUUGGUGUUAUUUUUGAACAAACCAGUGACUGGUAUACAAAGUGAAAACCAGGAUACUGUACAGACAAAAGAAAUUGUGUCCCUGCCUAGUGUAAUGUUAAGCUAUUUUAGGAAAUCUGAAAAAAAAAUGUAGUACUUAAUUACUGUAGCUGUGCAACCAAAAUAAUGAGAAGAUUGAGAGUGGAACUGAGAAGCAGUUAGAUGUUACACUAACAAGUUGGAGGCUUGCCGUCCAUCAAAGUCUGGCAAAAAAGUUACCUGCAGAGGGACAUACAAGCUCAGAAAUAUUCAUUCAGUGCCAUUACGACCUGAAUCGAGCACCUAAUACUGAUGAUGAGUGGAGAUUGUAUGCACACUUAGGUGUUGAAAAAGCAAUUAACUGAACAUAACAUGUUGUUUUUCCACGGAAGAUGAUAACCAAUGAGAGUAUGACAAAGAAUUCCAGGCUUACAGUAAAUAUAUAGAAUAAUGAGUUGUAGUUCAGAUUCUCUGAUGUUGCAUUUCAGGGCACCUGAAUUUGCUGUGCUGCUGCUUAAUCAAAGUCCAGUGUUUCAUUUGCUGUUUGCUAUGCUACCAUAACAGUAAAACCCAAGUAAUUUAUCCAGUAUCAAAUUGAACUUCACAUCUCAGAAAAGCUAAGUGUGAUUCUAUAGAUAAAUGACGAUAGCAGCAGAAUUUUGAGCCAGAAGUGGGUGCUUCUCUGAAUGGUGAUUUUGGGCCUACUUGGGCCCAGUCCCAGGGUCCUGGGAGUGCACGUUGAGAUCAGUAGGAUGGCAGCUGCUAGAAUAAAUGGCCAAUCACACAUUUUUGCAAGUAGAUUGCAAUGGUGUCUAAAAAUCCACCCUGGAAUAAUCAAUUCUCAGUGACUCUGAGACUUUAAAACUUUUUGUAAAUUCUCCUGCAACGUGUGAUACUGCAUCAAACAGCAUUCAGUAGAGCACGCUAUGAGUUAAAUGUCUUCCUCUCCUCCCCACCAUGAAUUCAAGAGAAGAUGAAAGUGAAAACACUGCUGAGGGAUACAAGAACUUGAUACAGCAGCUGGUCCUCUCUUGUCCCAGCUGAUUGCCACGAAACUAAAAAAAGUCUACGUUAAUGAAAAAGUAUUGAUGACUGCAACAAGCAACUUUAUUAUAGUAAAGCGUUUCCUCUACAUGAAUGUUGAUUUAUAAGCUGUAUAUCUUUUAUAAUGUCAUCUGAGAUUUAACAGUAAUUGACACAGUAGCCUUUCCACAACACUGAGAAAUAACACCUAAUUAUAAAUAAGCCCAAGUCUUUCGUAGAUCAUUUAUGUUAGCAUAUAUUUAGACAAAUAACUGCAGCAGGAGGGUCUAUAAUGUGAAAUUGCAGGGUGAGAGUAGUAGGAACUUGCAUCGUGUGCAGUCCCAUGCUGAAAUCCCAGCAACUGAUGAGCACCUAACCAUUAAUGUGGGAAUUAUGACCAUACAUCCCAACUACAAGAUGCCCUUUUACAUAUCCAGCUUCUUACAGUUAUGCUGGUAUCAUCAACAACCACUGGUUCAGCAGCACAUUUUCAUAUGCUUACAUGCAUACAUGCAUAUCUGACUCAGACACUACUGAAUGUUCUUUGACAAUUUCAUCAAUCCAACUGUGAAUGAUAAUUGAAAGCCUCACCAUUGUUUUCCCUUCCCCCACUUUUCACAGUCCAAAUCCAGAGGUAGUUCAGUCAUGCAAUAACUUAUUCAGCAUGCAAAAGAACAGAAUCAAUACACCUUUCUAGGAAAAGCUGCCAACACAAGUGAUAGAGCACUGAGGGCUGAAAAGCACAGAGAUGGUGCCUUUUUGAUAUUUUAUAUACAAGAGAGCUGUACUGAUGUGUCUAAUGUUGAGUAAUGCAUCAGUACAUGCUUCAAGAAGAGGAAACCAUUCCAAAAUUAAGGGUCACCUUACCCAUUUCAUAUCUCACAGAAAACUCAUCAACACAGACAGGAUGAAGGUAUAUCACAGAAGAUCCGACAGUCAAAAUGCACAAGCAGACUACCUGACCCUCUCAGAGAAGAGAUGUUACCUCAGUUUCAGUGUGGAAGACUCAAACUUCCUCAUAAACAAGGUGAUGGAUAAGUAUGAAAUCCUGUUUGCCAGCAACAGUAAAACAGCCCCAGAAGUGGAAUAGAAGUGGAAUAGUAAGCUUUCAGGAAACACAGUUAAUAUAAGAAUUCUCAUAAAAUGGUCUGUGGCAUCUAGAAAUAAGCUUCAGGUAGUGUGAUCAGGAUUUUUUUUAUGAAAUAUAAAUCACAGGUGAUGAACAUGCAUGUGAACUUGAUGGAAAAAGAGGUAGUAGCUGCUGCUGAUCAAUGAACUCUUGAAGAGAAAGCUGAGGGUUCUGCAAGCCCAUCAGACAAGAAUGAACGCUGAGGAACCAGGCUUGUUUAGCUUGGAGAAGACUCCAGGGAGACUUUAUUGCAGCCUUCCAGUACUUGAAGGGAGCGUAUAAACAGGAGGGGGAACGACAUUGUGAAAUCUAUUUUUGCUGUGAAGGCUCAGCCCUUUCACCCAACUUACCACUGACAGUAAGAUAUGAUACAUAAUGUGAGCACACAGGUUUCAGGAGAAAAUUAUGUAGGGCAGCUCAGAUGUAUUAGGUUCUUUGAGAUGUUCACACAGCUGUGGGUUUCUAAUUGCAAGGACUAGGCCGAGCAAUAAAAUAAGAACAAAAUAAUGGCAUAAAACUGACCAUUAUAGACAGAUGGCAAAGGAAGAAGUGGAGAAUGAAGCUAGUACUGGGACACAACAACACUGCUGGACACGCGCAUUCACCUGCUGAAACCAUACCUGCAGCAUCCACACCAGAAGAGGCUGCUUACCUACCUUUUCAGCUGUGACAUUUGCCUUACACAAGAACUAGGAAUACCUUGUAGAAUUCUGUGAGCUACUGUAAUUUUACAGACUAAUCAUCAGAUCUCUGUCAAUCCUCAAACAACUGUGGACAACUGUGGUCACAAGUCCACUAGUAGAGGGUUUCAAAAUGCCAUUCUUUUAUUUAGCUUUUCUGUUCUCCAUUUCUUUUUCUGGCUCUCCAAAUUUUCAUGGAAAACCACAGAAAGUCUUUCCAUGGACUAAUUGAAUGGAUGUUCCACAUUUAUACAAUAAUGUGGACAUAUCCUCAGUAAUUCCAGCCUGCUACCAUUCAGCAUUUGUGUAUAACAUCUGGGCGGCACUCAGAAGUGAGCUAGAAGAAAACUCCGAUAGGAUGACUUAGGCCUCUUUCUAGGGCUAAUAACAAUUAGCUUUGGUUUAGGGAUAUAGAUUUAGUUUUGUUUUCUAGACAGAAGUAACAAAAAAAAAAAAUCAUUCUUAGUAUAAGAAUAAAAACCACCAGUGAUGUGUUGUAUUGUGUCUGCAAAGGCUGCAGAGCCCUCCUAACAACAUCCACUUCUAUUUUUCAGUCUCUUCAUACAAUUUAAUUAAUAUAGCUGAAGAGUAAUAUAUAGUAUUUCAGCAUAAAACCACACAAAUCCUAUUCUAGGAGAUGAUUAGUUGCUCUAGAUAGAAUAGAUAAGUAUAGAUCCAUUAUACUAGUGCCACAGUAUUGCAUAAUUACAUAUCUUGACUUUAAGUUUGUAUCCAUUGUCAUUACAAGUAUCUUCCUGGAAAUAUAGCUUGAAACAAGCAAACAAGACCCUUAAAUAUGUUGGUCCAAGAAUACCCUCACAGAUAAGCAAGCUUUACAUAAACAUGUGCAUCACAACCAAAUACACUUUGAUUUAUGAACUGUAACUUAUACAUUACACAAGUGUUACCACGUACAGAUAUUACAUUGAAUUUUAGCUAAGUAUUUAUUUUCAAGAAGAAAAUACGCUGCCCUUCAGAGGUAUGAAAAUAAACUAGAAUUGAAUAAUACUGCAACAAGUCAUCAGUCAUGAUGUAUGGAUUUCAUUCUGUUUCGUGGCUUUACAUUCUCAGCUCUUAGAACAAACCUUCUGCCUUAGACUACACAGAAGAAAUUGGAGAGAUAUCUUUGUCCACAUACCAGCCAUUCACAACAUUGUUAUCAUUCUUACUCUGUGAUGCUAAUAGGUAUCUUUACCUAUUGCAAAUAUAGUGUUAGGUAAAGAAUUAAGACUAGUUGUUGGAAAGAACCCUCUUUCAAAAGAGGGUCUUGUACCAACAGGCCUUUAAGAACUCUUACAGUGGAGCAUUUUGUGACUUUGAAACACACGCCAAUGUCUCCUAGCGUUGACUUGAUUUGCACUAUGGAAAAUUCCAGAGCUUGAAUGUGAAAUAUACCCUCAAAUAAUUA